This 432-nucleotide ribosomal RNA is filed under the name uncultured bacterium. RNAcentral's name for it is "partial 16S ribosomal RNA". It matches the Rfam family "Bacterial small subunit ribosomal RNA", at positions 338 to 795 of the family's 1533-position model. The record is from RNAcentral.
CCUACGGGAGGCAGCAGUGGGGAAUCUUGCACAAUGGACGAAAGUCUGAUGCAGCGACGCCUCGUGAGUGAUGAAGGUCUUCGGAUCGUAAAGCUCUUUCGACUGGGAAGCGGUACCAGGAGAAGAAGCUGCGGCUAACUACGUGCCAGCAGCCGCGGUAAUACGUAGGCAGCAAGCGUUGUUCGGAAUUACUGGGCGUAAAGAGUGUGUAGGCGGUGUCGUAAGUUUGGCGUGAAAUCUCCCGGCUUAACUGGGAGGGUGCGCCGAAGACUGCGAUGCUUGAGGAUCGGAGAGGAAAGUGGAAUUUCUGGUGUAGCGGUGAAAUGCGUAGAUAUCAGAAGGAACACCUGUGGUGUAGACGGCUUUCUGGACGAUCCUGACGCUGAGACACGAAAGCGUGGGUAGCAAACAGGAUUAGAUACCCUUGUAGUC